UGGGCGAAGAUAAGAACUCAUAUGGUCUCGAAGAGCAAAGAAGACCUAAAAAUCAUGCUCAAUACAAUUACGAGAGCCCC
This is a small nucleolar RNA of Lontra canadensis (Northern American river otter), 80 nucleotides long. RefSeq annotates it as small nucleolar RNA SNORD115. NCBI's taxonomy places the organism in Eukaryota, Metazoa, Chordata, Mammalia, Carnivora, Mustelidae. The transcript has a single exon. The record is from RefSeq and is a predicted model, not a curated record.